This is a non-coding RNA of Pangasianodon gigas (Mekong giant catfish), 73 nucleotides long. The record is from the annotation of a GenBank genome assembly. Lineage: Eukaryota; Metazoa; Chordata; Actinopteri; Siluriformes; Pangasiidae.
UUCCUGGAGGACUCAUGGUUAGGCCUCGGCGCUCUCACCCUCGUGGCCCAGGUUCGAGUCCCGGGCCAGGGAA